AAUGAAUGCCAGUUCCAUAAGUCAUUGUGCCAUGUAGUGUGUGUGUAUAUAUACAUAUACACACACAUACUACAUGGCACAAUGACUUAUGGGGCUGGCA
This is a non-coding RNA of Pelobates cultripes (western spadefoot toad), 100 nucleotides long. The record is from the annotation of a GenBank genome assembly. Lineage: Eukaryota; Metazoa; Chordata; Amphibia; Anura; Pelobatidae.